Peromyscus californicus insignis is the source of this 3501-nucleotide long non-coding RNA. RefSeq lists it as uncharacterized. The record is from RefSeq and is a predicted model, not a curated record. NCBI's taxonomy places the organism in Eukaryota, Metazoa, Chordata, Mammalia, Rodentia, Cricetidae. The transcript is spliced from 2 exons.
UCUGCCUGCUUUCCUUCAGUUCUGUUAAGGAGACUUCAAUUUGUUAGAAUUAUGCACAUUAGGUGAGCUAGUGUAAAUUCUAGUGUCUCUUACUGUUAUUACGUUAAAAACUAGAACAUCCGGACAUGAGUGCUUUGCUAAAUCUUUGUUUUACCGAGUUGGGGGACCCUCCCCCCACUCCCAGAGCCCCAACAGCAGUUUCAGGGGCAGCCCAGGAUUCUCCCCAGAUUGGCUCAGCUUACUGCCUCACGGGAGUCCACACCCUCUCCUGAAUGCCCAGUCAGACUGACCCUUUGAUCUGGUUUUCUUCAUGCCCCCCCCAUCCCCCGCCUGCCUUGUCCCUGGGCCGGCCUGUCGGCCGUGACACAGUGCUAACACCCUGGUGCUGGAGGCCACAGUGAGCAUUGCUCACUCGCAGCAGGCGGAUGAAAAGGCAGUGCAGAUGUAAUUUGUUUUCAAUGGCUGUUUCAAAAGAAUAAUUGUGGUGACAUUGCGGGAUCAAUAUUAUAGAUUUUUGUUUUCAAGUACACUGUAUGUGUGGUGCUAAGGGGAGGCAGGAAAUACAGCAUUGCAGCCUGAAUACAAUAAAAAUGGAUUGAGGUCUGCGGGUAUUUGUCGGCUGCUAGCCAUCACAGGCUUGGAGCAUCAUUGGUGGGAUUACUGCGUUUGUCCUUUGGAGUGGUAUUUCACGGGGAAUGUGCGUAUUUCCUGUCCUUUUCAUCCUUGGCUUCCUGGGGAGGAGAACCUGUUUCCUAAAUCUGGGUAAAGUAAAUUGGAGAUGAGACUCCCUAGCUGGGAGGUGGCUUUGCUUGCUGACAAGUGGAAGUGGCCAGGGGAGGUACAGUACCUGUGCUGGACCUGAGAUGCUGUUUGUGCUGGAGCAGAGAUGCAAGACCUACUGCAGGAGCUGGACAUUUUUCAUAGAAUCCCAUACUUCCUAAUUCAGGUUGGGUUUUGAGGAUUUCAACAGACAUUUAUUUCUCCUGCUCUUCUUGUGGGGAUUUGGUUUGAUAUUUUGAGAUAGGGUCUCCCUAUGCAGUCUAGUGUGACAUCACACUUGUGGUCCUCCUGCCUCAGCCUCCUGUGUUCUGGGAUGACAGGUGUGUGCUACCAAGGACUUUGGAAAGACAGCUUCUCUCUCUCUGUACAUGUUUAUGCAUUUCAGAGGACAGACACAGACCUCUGUGAUCAUGGGAGUGAGCCUCUAGCGUCCCCAGGCCAUGCCCUGGGCUUCAGAGAGCGGCCCUGCUUGUUCUUUAGAGCAGCAUUCUGCUUGGGAAGCUAGUGUGAACCCUGAAACUGUUGCUUUAAAAAUCCUAGGAGGUGAUUGAAGUCUCUGGAAUUAAGGUGGGUUUUCUGAGUUGGGGUAACUAGACAAAAUGUGUAGAUCCCAGGGUGAAAAUUAUAUGAACAAAGAAUUCGUAAUAAAGCUGAAUAAAUGUAAUGAGAUGUGAAGGAGAGCAUGGUGUGCGCUCUCGUCCCUGUCUUUUGCAAUUAGCCCUUGAAGGAAAUGGAAAUCCCAGCAAAACACCUUUCACUUGCCUUCAGAUUGUAAAGGCAAAUGAGGUGCUUGGGGAUGAGAGCAUGGCUGGGUGCACAGCAGGUUUCAGAGGGACAUUCAGAAACUGAGAGCUGAACAUUUGGCCCUACAAAUUCAUGUGGCAGAUUGAGAAACUGAGGCACAGUCAUUCCUAGGGCCCUGUCCUGUCCCUGAGUGAGUUUGAAGAGACUGUAUUUGAUUCACAAUGCAGAGCUCCCUACAGUCCUUAAACUUGGCUCUGGUUUGAAUGCACCAUGUCCUUGGGUUUAACUACCUGCAAACCUGCAAACAGAGAGUAUUUGGGGAAAGAAAUUAAAUCUUAACCAAACAUGGAUGAGUUAUUCUUUUAUCUUCCGUUUUCCGAACUGUAUAGUGUAAAACCACCUUUACAAUGUUUGUAUUGCAAUAGGAAUUAUAAGCAAUCCAGGAUGACUAAAAAUGCUCAGGAUUUAAGAUGAGAGCUCCAUGCCAUUUUAGACAAGAGAUUCAGGCAUUCUUCUAUGGAGUUGCUGCCUGUGGAGGGUUCUAGAACAAGACACCAAUGGCUAACUGUGAUUUGCAAGUCAUGAUAUCUUAUCUUGUUUAUCGUUUUUAUUUUUAAAUUUUUUAUGUGUAUGAGCAUUUGCCUGCAUGUAAAUAUGUGAGCCACAUGCAUGCAACAUCCAUGGAGGCCAGAAGAGGAUGCUGGAUGCCCUGCAACUGGAAGAAUGGAUGAUUAUGAGUUGACAGACUGCAGCAUGUUCUUGUCACUCAACACAUGAAGUGGAACAACAUUCUAAGUGAGGACCUGCUACCUCCAGAACCUGCAAGGGCGACUCUGACUAUGAGGACCAGUUGCCUCCAGCACCCACAGGGAAGACUCUGACCAAAAGCUUCCUCUGCAUUUGUCAGAAAGGAGACACCAUCACAUGCCCUUUGGAUUGGGAUACCCUGGUGUGUCUUUGACUUUGGACCCUUAAACAUCAUUUAUUUGGUUUAUCUCUGAGUAUCUUGAGGGCUUAUUUUAUGUUCAGGAGGGUUUGAAUCUCUUCAAGUUUGUCCAUGCUCAUCCUUCACAGUCUGUUGUAGUUUUGUUUAGUCUGGUGACUCAAUAGAACAUGAUAGAUUCCUACAUUUUCCAUUGUUACAUAGAUACGGUCUUGGAUGGCUGCAGGAGCAGAGAUCAGAGACCUUCAUGUCACCUUCUGUACUGUGAGAGUUUUCACCCAAGUCUCUAAUUUUGAAAGUUACCAAGUUUCAUGUACAUCCAUCCUACUGAUAUUAUUUGUGAUCUUGGAAAGGAUUACUCAAUGAGUCUUGUGAAAGGAGUAUCUGAGACAAGAGUCUACAUUAUACCCCCGGCCUCCAGCUACACAUGUGCCACUUGUUUCUCUAGAAAACAGGAAAGGGGGAAUGUUGAGAAGAAAUUUGGGAACAAAAAAGGAUGAGUUGUUCUUGGCUCCAGAUCUGCAAAGGCUGUAGAAAGUUUGAUGAAGUAGCCUAGGUUUUCACAAUGCAUGGGACACACAGAUGAUCCUAAAUAGUAUAAACAUGUUAUAUUUAUUAAUUUACAUACAGUACAUUAAACUAUAUGGAAACUAUUCUUUUACCAAGUCAAUAUGUUUGAAUAUUUGUUAGGGUUAAAAAAUGGAUAGAUUGAAGCCUUUUGGGGUCAGAGUUAGAAUAAAAGUAAUUCCUCAUACACAUACAGCUUAAAAUUCGGCUGCCUUUUGCAUGGUCUCCCUCAGAUUCUGAGGCUGGCAUGGGUCCUAUAUCCUGACUCAAGAAUUGUGGGGAGCUCUCUGCAGAGUAAUGGCUGAGUUUUCCCCUGGUAGCUCUCCAGCCUCAUUCUCACUUUGGAUAUGACAUGACCUCCAUCUUUGGGGUUCUCACCAAUAUGUAUAACUGCAUGAGCUGCGGAAUGAGGGAAUCACCUAAAUCUUCCCAGUCUCUAGAGAAAUAAAAUACACAGUGUGACUUCA